This 475-nucleotide ribosomal RNA is filed under the name uncultured eukaryote. RNAcentral describes it as "bacterial SSU rRNA". It matches the Rfam family "Bacterial small subunit ribosomal RNA", at positions 468 to 916 of the family's 1533-position model. The record is from RNAcentral.
UAUGACGGUACUCUAUAAGUAUAGAGCAUCGGCUAUACUCCGUGCCAGCAUGGGCCGCGGUAAUACGGGUGGAUGCAAGCGUUAUCCGGAAUUACUGGGCGUUAAGCGUCUGCAGGUGGCUUAAAAAGUCUGCUGUUAUAAUAUUAGAGCUCAACUUCUGAGUAAGUCAGUGGGAUACCUGUUACGGCUAUGAGUAUGGUAUUGGGUAAAGGGAAACUCCCAGUGUAGUCGGUGAAAUGGCGUAGAUAUUGGGAAGAACACCAGUAGCGAAAGCGCUUUACUAGACCAUUACUGACACUCAGAGUACGAAAGCUAGGGGAGCAAAUGGGAUUAGUAUACCCCAGUAGUCCUAGCCGUAAACGAUGGAUAUCUAGAUGUUGCGUGUAUCGACCCAUGCAGUAUUCGUAGCUAACGCGUUAAGUAUCCCGCCUGGGAAGUAUGCUCGCCAGAGUGAAACUCAAAGGGAGAUUGACGG